RNAcentral lists this unclassified non-coding RNA (447 nucleotides) under Hevea brasiliensis (rubber tree). Lineage: Eukaryota; Viridiplantae; Streptophyta; Magnoliopsida; Malpighiales; Euphorbiaceae. The record is from RNAcentral.
UUAAAAAUGCAUCAUAAGAUCUCACUGCAAUAAUUAUGGUUUUCUUCUUUAAUAGUUUUUGUUUCUUAGUCUUGUACAGGUAAUGACUUAAAUCAAAACACAACUUCAAUGUAUGGUGAUCUCAUAGCCAAAAGAGUGCUUCCCAAAGAGCAAUAGCUUCUACAGGCCUGGAAGAAAAUUGGCCCUGCUUAAAAUCAGAAAAAGCUGUAACAAAGUGUCUCCUGGAAGCACCACCAAAAGCCAAACUUUACUUCACCUUUCAACAUAGCACCAUUAAUUAAUAUUACAUUAAAAUAACCAAUUAAAUUUUAAUUUUCAUUAAAAUAAAAUGCUUAGUUCUUUGAGUCUAUGAAAAUGAGUGAUUGAUGCUGCCUUAGUGUUUACAGAAUUUUCUUGGAUCAAGUACAAGUUAUAAAUGAUAGAAAUGUAUUUUUAUGCUUGUAUGCA